This 253-nucleotide ribosomal RNA is filed under the name uncultured bacterium. RNAcentral's name for it is "partial 16S ribosomal RNA". It matches the Rfam family "Bacterial small subunit ribosomal RNA", at positions 524 to 776 of the family's 1533-position model. The record is from RNAcentral.
GACGGAAGGUGCAAGCGUUGCUCGGAAUCACUGGGCGUAAAGGGUGCGUAGGCGGCUGUGUAAGUCUGGCGUGAAAGCCCCGGGCUCAGCCCGGGAAGUGCGCUCGAAACUGCGCGGCUCGAGUGCCGGAGGGGAGAGUGGAAUUCCUGGUGUAGCGGUGAAAUGCGUAGAUAUCUGGAGGAACACCGGUGGCGAAGGCGGCAUCCUGGACCGGUAUUGACGCUGAGGCGCGAAAGCUAGGGGAGCAAACGGG